RNAcentral lists this ribosomal RNA (484 nucleotides) under uncultured bacterium. RNAcentral's name for it is "partial 16S ribosomal RNA". It matches the Rfam family "Bacterial small subunit ribosomal RNA", at positions 30 to 507 of the family's 1533-position model. The record is from RNAcentral.
AUUGAACGCUGGCGGCAGGCCUAACACAUGCAAGUCGAGCGGAUGCAGGGAGCUUGCUCCUGGAUUCAGCGGCGGACGGGUGAGUAAUGCCUAGGAAUCUGCCUGGUAGUGGGGGAUAACGUCCGGAAACGGGCGCUAAUACCGCAUACGUCCUGAGGGAGAAAGUGGGGGAUCUUCGGACCUCACGCUAUCAGAUGAGCCUAGGUCGGAUUAGCUAGUUGGUGGGGUAAAGGCCUACCAAGGCGACUAUCCGUAACUGGUCUGAGAGGAUGAUCAGUCACACUGGAACUGAGACACGGUCCAGACUCCUACGGGAGGCAGCAGUGGGGAAUAUUGGACAAUGGGCGAAAGCCUGAUCCAGCCAUGCCGCGUGUGUGAAGAAGGUCUUCGGAUUGUAAAGCACUUUAAGUUGGGAGGAAGGGCAGUAAGUUAAUACCGUGCUGUUUUGACGGUACCAACAGAAUAAGCACCGGCUAACUUCGUG